Molecule: long non-coding RNA, 1786 nt
Organism: Homo sapiens (human)
Lineage: Eukaryota; Metazoa; Chordata; Mammalia; Primates; Hominidae
Product: long intergenic non-protein coding RNA 1798
Source: Ensembl
AGAUGAAGCUAGCCUUCUCAGCUAGCCUUCAGAUUUGUCUGCUAACAGUAAAAAUACUAUAAUAAAUCGGUAACAUAUGUUGCCAGGCAAGGAAAAGUGAUAUAAAUAAAGAGACUGGGAGACCCAAACCAAAUUGCAUUCUUACCCAAAUACUCUUCGUGAUUGCCUGCUUUGCGGCUUUGGGCCGAUGCAAGCUGCAAAAUGGCGAGUCUUCUAAGGUGCCUUUCCUUCCCUGGGAUCCUCAUCUUAGAAUGAGCAGAGGCACAUCGAUAAGAACUGGACCUUGAUUUCACAACCUCAUACAAAGCCAGGCAAUUCUUGAGCCAAACAAAGGGGGUGUAAGCUAUUUCAUUUAUUUUGAUAAUCCUCCUCUUGCACGGGAGCAUUUUGCUGUCUUUGUCAAAGUGAAUGACAACAAUUUGGCCAACUCUCUCUGAGCUGCACUCAACAGUGACAGGCAAAUUAUCAGAGGCCCUGCACUUCUUAUUAUCAGAGGAGAAGCCAUCAGGGGGACGCAUGGAGGAUACCUCUCCCUUGUCACUAUUUGUCAGUGGGACAAGGGCCACUGCUAUGGGUAGCUGACAGGUAAUUUCAACAAUAACAAUUACUCCUAUUACUGGUGUCAUAAACAAUUCGCCCAAGGCAUGACAAUAGCAAAGCUUUAUAAUUCAAUGCCAUAUAAAUAAAUGCCAGCAGGUAACAAGUAAUUUAGCUCCAAUCAAGCUUUCACCCCGGCAUUAAUAUUGUUAUUGCAAGAAAAUGGAAAAUUGAAAAAAUUCAAUAUGUUAAUGAAUUAAGAGAGGUUCAAGGGCUAGACAAGACGAGUUGGAAAAAGGAAACAAAAAUUAUUGUGGUAUCAUAUUUGGUGCCAUCCUGGAGGCCAAACAUCAGUAUAAUUACUUUAAGACAAGAAGGGGAACUGGAGUGCCUUAGAUCUCAGAGCAGGGAAAAAUGUGACAUGAGCUUUCAAAAAAUCCACCUAACUCCAAUUUCUGAAGAAUAUAAGGAGAAAUAUGAGAGUGUAUAUAUAUAAUGUAGCAUUUCACUGGCUUUCUUUUUCUACCUGAAAUAUUUCAUAUGAAGCAGAAGCAUGAGUAUCAAAGAAACGUUUCCAUCUGUUUAAGAAAAUUGUAUCAGCACCUGCUUCCUUUACAUUAAGUCUCAUAAUGAAACUAUUUUAAUAAUCCUUUUUUUUUUAAUCUGGGGUGAAGGUAAAGCUGAAAGUCAUCUUUGCUCUCCAGCUGUCCACCUUUUGGAAGUGGACUAGAGGAUACAGUGUUAUCUUCAUACGUAAAACUUCCUGAUCAAGCCAAUUUGCAAUUUUAGUAUUUGUCCAGCAAGACAAUGUGCCAUCAUGGUGACAGCAGUAAAAGAAUUUGAAAAUCUCUAAUUAGGAGAGCUGCACACCAAUUAACGCAUGUCAAAUUUCACUUCAUCAAGUGCCACUCUAAUUUUCCCUCUAAAAAUUAAUGGAUUUUUUUUCUUUUGGUAUGUGUGUGUGUCCCCUUAAGGCAAUGUUGAUUCAAAUCUGCUCGAGAUGCAGUGUUGCACAGCUAAGCAUCUUCUUGAUUACAAUCCGCCACACUUCUAACUGCGCUCAUUCGCACUGCCACGGAUACUUUGUCAACAGUCAAAUUACACCACGCUGAUAACAAUGCAUAAUGGUGUUCCUCCUCCAGUCCCCUGUCAGGAGAGGGGCUUCAUAAAAAUGUGAUGUUUUCUUCUCAACUGUAUCUAAAGGAAGUUUGUAUGACCAGGUCCCCAGUCAGGUGUUGAUUUUUAAAAU